AAUAUGCUUAGUAUUAUAAAUGUUGAGUGAUGAGUUGUUUACCAUUUAUAAUAAACUGUUAAAUGUAUUUCUGGGAACAUUCCAUGGCAGCAUAUUCUGGGUUGUUGUUUAUGUGUUCCAAUGUAGACAAAUUAUAUUUGCCUUGGGAAAAAUUCUAAGUAAUCAAAAUUAUAUUUAAAUAUUAAAAAAUCACAUUGAAGUUCAAUUUGUGUUAGCUGUAUUAAAUAUCUUGGUCACUAUUGUUCUUGUAACAUUUGCUUUUGACAACACAUUUUGAGAUCUAAGAAAGGUAGUACAUUAACAGUGCAUUAAUUAAUGUUUUGUUAGAAACUAAAUGUUAACAAAAAGUUUUGUGUGUAUGUGAAGGUGGCAACUUCCUUUUGUAUUAUAUUAACACUUUUUAAAUGUAUUCAGUCAGUGAAACCAAUGAUUAUUAUAGCACCAACACUUUCAUUCAAGGAAGCAUUUGAGUCUUAUAAUUUGUUUUGCAUGGUACAAUGGUUCUACUAAAAUAUACUUGUGUAAUAGGUACUAGAUGAUUUAAAAACAAAACCGGAGAAACCAUUUAAAAAGUUCCAUAGCUUGUUAUACAAAAUAUGCAUUGCUAAUGUUUAGCAGGAAGCAUUCAUGAUCAACGAUUUAUCUUGAAAAUAAGAUUCCUUCGUCUGAGGGAUUGAUCUGUAUGUGUGU
Homo sapiens (human) is the source of this 690-nucleotide long non-coding RNA. Ensembl annotates it as ACAP2 intronic transcript 1. Its record names the gene ACAP2-IT1. The record is from Ensembl. NCBI's taxonomy places the organism in Eukaryota, Metazoa, Chordata, Mammalia, Primates, Hominidae.